GACGAACGCUGGCGGCGUGCUUAACACAUGCAAGUCGAACGGAAAGGCCCUGCUUUUGUGGGGUGCUCGAGUGGCGAACGGGUGAGUAACACGUGAGUAACCUGCCCUUGACUUUGGGAUAACUUCAGGAAACUGGGGCUAAUACCGGAUAGGAGCUCCUGCUGCAUGGUGGGGGUUGGAAAGUUUCGGCGGUUGGGGAUGGACUCGCGGCUUAUCGGCUUGUUGGUGGGGUAGUGGCUUACCAAGGCUUUGACGGGUAGCCGGCCUGAGAGGGUGACCGGCCACAUUGGGACUGAGAUACGGCCCGGACUCCUACGGGAGGCAGCAGUGGGGAAUAUUGCACAAUGGGCGGAAGCCUGAUGCAGCAACGCCGCGUGCGGGAUGACGGCCUUCGGGUUGUAAACCGCUUUCGCCUGUGACGAAGCGUGAGUGACGGUAAUGGGUAAAGAAGCACCGGCUAACUACGUG
RNAcentral lists this ribosomal RNA (468 nucleotides) under uncultured bacterium. RNAcentral describes it as "partial 16S ribosomal RNA". It matches the Rfam family "Bacterial small subunit ribosomal RNA", at positions 28 to 507 of the family's 1533-position model. The record is from RNAcentral.